UAGGGAAUCUUCGGCAAUGGGGGGAACCCUGACCGAGCAACGCCGCGUGAGUGAAGAAGGUUUUCGGAUCGUAAAGCUCUGUUGUUAAGGAAGAACGAGUGUGAGAAUGGAAAGUUCAUACUGUGACGGUACUUAACCAGAAAGGGACGGCUAACUACGUGCCAGCAGCCGCGGUAAUACGUAGGUCCCGAGCGUUGUCCGGAUUUAUUGGGCGUAAAGCGAGCGCAGGCGGUUAGAUAAGUCUGAAGUUAAAGGCUGUGGCUUAACCAUAGUACGCUUUGGAAACUGUUUAACUUGAGUGCAAGAGGGGAGAGUGGAAUUCCAUGUGUAGCGGUGAAAUGCGUAGAUAUAUGGAGGAACACCGGUGGCGAAAGCGGCUCUCUGGCUUGUAACUGACGCUGAGGCUCGAAAGCGUGGGGAGCAAACAGGAUUAGAUACCCUGGUAGUCCACGCCGUAAACGAUGAGUGCUAGGUGUUAGACCCUUUCCGGGGUUUAGUGCCGUAGCUAACGCAUUAAGCACUCCGCCUGGGGAGUACGACCGCAAGGUUG
Molecule: ribosomal RNA, 550 nt
Filed under: uncultured bacterium
Lineage: Bacteria
Description: bacterial SSU rRNA
Rfam family: Bacterial small subunit ribosomal RNA
Source: RNAcentral